CGUGUAGGCGGUUGAAAAACGUCAGGUGUGAAAUUCUUCGGCUCAACCGAGGGACUGCGCCUGAAACUUUUCGACUGGAGUUCGGGAGGGGCAACUGGAAUUCCUGGUGUAACGGUGAAAUGUGUAGAUAUCAGGAGGAACACCGGUGGCGAAGGCGGGUUGCUGGACCGAAACUGACGCUGAGACGCGAAAGCGUGGGUAGCAAACA
This 208-nucleotide ribosomal RNA is filed under the name uncultured bacterium. Its description in RNAcentral is "partial 16S ribosomal RNA". It matches the Rfam family "Bacterial small subunit ribosomal RNA", at positions 568 to 774 of the family's 1533-position model. The record is from RNAcentral.